This 207-nucleotide ribosomal RNA is filed under the name uncultured bacterium. Its description in RNAcentral is "partial 16S ribosomal RNA". It matches the Rfam family "Bacterial small subunit ribosomal RNA", at positions 568 to 774 of the family's 1533-position model. The record is from RNAcentral.
CUCGUAGGCGGUUCAGUAAGUCGGGUGUGAAAACUUCGGGCUUAACCCGAAGCCUGCAUCCGAUACUGCUGUGACUUGAGUCCGGUAGGGGAGUGGGGAAUUCCUGGUGUAGCGGUGAAAUGCGCAGAUAUCAGGAGGAACACCGGUGGCGAAGGCGCCACUCUGGGCCGGUACUGACGCUGAGGAGCGAAAGCGUGGUAGCAAACA